This is a non-coding RNA of Dipodomys ordii (Ord's kangaroo rat), 65 nucleotides long. Lineage: Eukaryota; Metazoa; Chordata; Mammalia; Rodentia; Heteromyidae. The record is from Rfam.
GGUGGCUCAGUGGUAGAAUGCUUGCCUUGCAAGCAUGAGGCCCUGGGUUCGAUUCCUCAGCACCA